This is a long non-coding RNA of Urocitellus parryii (Arctic ground squirrel), 1573 nucleotides long. RefSeq lists it as uncharacterized. The record is from RefSeq and is a predicted model, not a curated record. NCBI's taxonomy places the organism in Eukaryota, Metazoa, Chordata, Mammalia, Rodentia, Sciuridae.
CGUGGGUCAUUCAUUGGCUUCUUGUAGUUUGAACCUCGGAACAGACUGGCUCUAGCACAUGUGCCUCACCCUGUGUGCCCUGCUCCUCUCGUUCAAGGUUACUGGAAGCUCAGUCUGCCCCAACAUUUCCCUAUUUACUGGAGACCUCAAAAACUUGUCAUUGACCUUCCCAUGACCUGGAUAAAAAUCUCUCAACCUGUCCCUGCCUGUCAUGUAGGCAAACUGAAGGGAAAAUGGCAUGGAUAGUGGUUUGGAAACAGCAGAGGAAAUGGGUCACUUGUGUUAUUAGUAGGGGAGUUAAAGACAUGCAAGAACGGAAAGAAAAACAAGACAAGAAAUAAAGGACAUUAAGGAGGGUAUGCAGCAUGAUGGUCCCAGCCAGUGGGGAGCUGUAAGACAGAUGUUCAAGAUGAGCCUCUGGGGCUGAUCAUGUCUCUGGUUAUAGAGAAGGAGAGAUUCUAUAUGUUGCCUGGCAGCCACUGAUUGGUCAGAGACAAAGAGGAAUGCUUACGAUGGAGAUGCCCUGGCAGUUGUGAUUUUGCUGAAGUCCAUUAUUAACAUGAAGUCCAUUUCUUUAUCAUUUUCCAGCUGAUCUUGAAGGUGAUGAUAGGUCAUAAGCCGCAGCCUCUGCAAGGAUGUUACAACCCCUGGAGCAGUCGGAAAGUACAUAUGUGUUUGGAAUGCAACAAAAGGGGAAAGUUACUAGUGUGUUUUGGACGGGACCCUGUAUUUUUAACCCUUUAUCCAAACCUAGGGGAAACACAACCCAGCUACUCAAAACCCAGUUUUCUCCUAAAAUGACAUAGUUAAGUAGUCGUCGGAAUCAUUUUUUCUUCAGACAGUUUGGCUUAGUGUCUAAGAGCAUUGAUAGCAGACAGCUGGUUCAAGUCCUAACUCCUUCCCUUGCUAAAUAUGUGACUCUGAGGAAGUUGAAAAGCUCUCCCAUCUCGUGUUCUUCCUCUGUAAAACAACAAACAUCUCACAAGGUUGUCACCAAGAAUAUUCCUGAAUUACUGGGCUUUUCCUCCCUGAUCUAUUAUGGAGGACAUUAGCAAGAAGUGUACCAGGUAAGCGCCCAAUAAAUGGCAUAAUUAUUAUCACAAAAAAUGUUUUAGAAAGUACUGGGUUCCAGCUCUACAUGGUUUUAGGAGUGUUGACAGAGAGUAUAGGGUUCAGGGUCAUGGAAGAGUUAGGACUACAGGCAGAGUAGCUUUUCCAUGAUGUUUGCAUGCGUUAUCUCAUUCUGAGAGAGAAAAUUUGGGUAGUCACUCCCAUUUCAUAGAGGAGGCUCUUGCACAUUGCUAGAAUUGGCAAAGCCACGAGUAGGUCCCAGGGCUCCAGAGUCCUUGCUAGAGCUCCAUCUGUACAUUAUGGCACCUCUGUUAAGUGUUUCUCCAUACAUGGUGAACUUAAGCUAGCUCGAUGCAGAAAAAGACUGUAUUCUACUCUUGUAACAAAUACAGAAUCUUUGCCAAUUACAAGGUGAGCUGUAAUCAAUCAGGCUAUAUGUCUGCCUCAUGUCCGUUUCUUGUGAUUUUCUUGGUCCAUAUGGUGGGGCACAGAGCAUUCUGAA